Molecule: ribosomal RNA, 760 nt
Filed under: bacterium enrichment culture clone PF-1_38
Lineage: Bacteria
Description: partial 16S ribosomal RNA
Rfam family: Bacterial small subunit ribosomal RNA
Source: RNAcentral
GGAAUUCGAUUAGAGUUUGAUCCUGGCUCAGCUUGAACGCUGGCGGCAUGCCUUACACAUGCAAGUCGGACGGCAGCGCGGGCUUCGGCCUGGCGGCGAGUGGCGAACGGGUGAGUAAUACAUCGGAACNNNNNNNNNNGUGGGGGAUAGCCCGGCGAAAGCCGGAUUAAUACCGCAUACGAUCUGUGGAUGAAAGCGGGGGAUCGCNNNNNCUCGCGCUAUUGGGGUGGCCGAUGGCGGAUUAGCUAGUUGGUGGGGUAAAGGCCUACCAAGGCGACGAUCCGUAGCUGGUCUGAGAGGACGACCAGCCACACUGGGACUGAGACACGGCCCAGACUCCUACGGGAGGCAGCAGUGGGGAAUUUUGGACAAUGGGCGCAAGCCUGAUCCAGCAAUGCCGCGUGUGUGAAGAAGGCCUUCGGGUUGUAAAGCACUUUUGUCCGGAAAGAAAUCCUUUUCGAUAAUACCGAAGGGGGAUGACGGUACCGGAAGAAUAAGCACCGGCUAACUACGUGCCAGCAGCCGCGGUAAUACGUAGGGUGCGAGCGUUAAUCGGAAUUACUGGGCGUAAAGCGUGCGCAGGCGGUGAUGCAAGACCGAUGUGAAAUCCCCGGGCUUAACCUGGGAACUGCAUUGGUGACUGCAUCGCUAGAGUAUGGCAGAGGGGGGUAGAAUUCCACGUGUAGCAGUGAAAUGCGUAGAGAUGUGGAGGAAUACCGAUGGCGAAGGCAGCCCCCUGGGUCAAUACUGACGCUCAUGC